RNAcentral lists this ribosomal RNA (577 nucleotides) under uncultured bacterium. RNAcentral describes it as "bacterial SSU rRNA". It matches the Rfam family "Bacterial small subunit ribosomal RNA", at positions 338 to 916 of the family's 1533-position model. The record is from RNAcentral.
CCUACGGGAGGCAGCAGUAGGGAAUAUUGGACAAUGGGUGCGAGCCUGAUCCAGCCAUGCCGCGUGCAGGAAGACGGCCUUCUGGGUUGUAAACUGCUUUUGCCAGGGGAUAAAAAGUCCCUGCGGGGAAAAUUGAAGGUACCUGGUGAAUAAGCCACGGCUAACUACGUGCCAGCAGCCGCGGUAAUACGUAGGUGGCAAGCGUUGUCCGGAUUUAUUGGGUUUAAAGGGUGCGUAGGUUGUUUUGUAAGUCAGUGGUGAAAUCCGGCAGCUCAACUGUCGAUGUGCCAUUGAUACUGCAGAACUUGAGUACAGACGAGGUAGGCGGAAUUGACGGUGUAGCGGUGAAAUGCUUAGAUAUCGUCAAGAAUACCGAUAGCGAAGGCAGCUUACUAGACUGUAACUGACACUGAUGCACGAAAGUGUGGGGAUCAAACAGGAUUAGAUACCCUGGUAGUCCACACUGUAAACGAUGAUUACUCGAUGUUGGCGAUACACAGCCAGCGUCUUAGCGAAAGCGAUAAGUAAUCCACCUGGGGAGUACGCCCGCAAGGGUGAAACUCAAAUGAAUUGACGG